UACGAAGGGGGCUAGCGUUGCUCGGAAUCACUGGGCGUAAGCGCACGUAGGCGGAUCUUUCAGUCAGGGGUGAAAUCCUGGAGCUCAACUCCAGAACUGCCUUUGAUACUGGGGAUCUCGAGUCCGGGAGAGGUGAGUGGAACUGCGAGUGUAGAGGUGAAAUUCGUAGAUAUUCGCAAGAACACCAGUGGCGAAGGCGGCUCACUGGCCCGGUACUGACGCUGAGGUGCGAAAGCGUGGGGAGCAAACAGG
RNAcentral lists this ribosomal RNA (252 nucleotides) under uncultured bacterium. Its description in RNAcentral is "partial 16S ribosomal RNA". It matches the Rfam family "Bacterial small subunit ribosomal RNA", at positions 524 to 776 of the family's 1533-position model. The record is from RNAcentral.